Molecule: unclassified non-coding RNA, 499 nt
Filed under: uncultured Glomus
Lineage: Eukaryota; Fungi; Glomeromycota; Glomeromycetes; Glomerales; Glomeraceae
Description: SSU rRNA
Rfam family: Eukaryotic small subunit ribosomal RNA
Source: RNAcentral
CCAAUAGCGUAUAUUAAAGUUGUUGCAGUUAAAAAGCUCGUAGUUGAAUUUCGGGACCAUCAUGUCGGUCGUGCCUCGGUACGUACUGGCAUUGUUGGUUUCUCCCUUCUGACGAACCAUGAUGUCAUUUAUUUGGUGUUGUGGGAAAUCAGGACUGUUACUUUGAAAAAAUUAGAGUGUUUAAAGCAGGCUCACGCUUGAAUACAUUAGCAUGGAAUAAUGAAAUAGGACGUUUGAUUCUAUUUUGUUGGUUUCUAGGAUCGACGUAAUGAUUAAUAGGGAUAGUUGGGGGCAUUAGUAUUCAAUUGUCAGAGGUGAAAUUCUUGGAUUUAUUGAAGACUAACUACUGCGAAAGCAUUUGCCAAGGAUGUUUUCAUUAAUCAAGAACGAAAGUUAGGGGAUCGAAGACGAUCAGAUACCGUCGUAGUCUUAACCAUAAACUAUGCCGACUAGGGAUCGGAUGAUGUUAAUUUUUUAAUGACUCAUUCGGCGCCUUACG